Molecule: ribosomal RNA, 490 nt
Filed under: uncultured bacterium
Lineage: Bacteria
Description: partial 16S ribosomal RNA
Rfam family: Bacterial small subunit ribosomal RNA
Source: RNAcentral
AUUGAACGCUGGCGGCAUGCUUUACACAUGCAAGUCGGACGGCAGCACAGAGAAGCUUGCUUCUUGGGUGGCGAGUGGCGAACGGGUGAGUAACAUAUCGGAACGUACCGAGCAGUGGGGGAUAACUAAUCGAAAGAUUAGCUAAUACCGCAUAUCUUCUGAGGAAGAAAGCAGGGGACCAUUUGGCCUUGCGCUGUUUGAGCGACCGAUAUCUGAUUAGCUAGUUGGUGGGGUAAAGGCCUACCAAGGCGACGAUCAGUAGCGGGUCUGAGAGGAUGAUCCGCCACACUGGGACUGAGACACGGCCCAGACUCCUACGGGAGGCAGCAGUGGGGAAUUUUGGACAAUGGGCGCAAGCCUGAUCCAGCCAUGCCGCGUGUCUGAAGAAGGCCUUCGGGUUGUAAAGGACUUUUGUCAGGGAAGAAAAGGGCGGGGUUAAUACCCCUGUCUGAUGACGGUACCUGAAGAAUAAGCACCGGCUAACUACGUG